GACGAACGCUGGCGGCGUGCUUAACACAUGCAAGUCGAACGGAAAGGCCCUGCUUUUGUGGGGUGCUCGAGUGGCGAACGGGUGAGUAACACGUGAGUAACCUGCCCUUGACUUUGGGAUAACUUCAGGAAACUGGGGCUAAUACCGGAUAGGAGCUCCUGCUGCAUGGUGGGGGUUGGAAAGUUUCGGCUGUUGGGGAUGGACUCGCGGCUUAUCAGCUUGUUGGUGGGGUAGUGGCUUACCAAGGCUUUGACGGGUAGCCGGCCUGAGAGGGUGACCGGCCACAUUGGGACUGAGAUACGGCCCAGACUCCUACGGGAGGCAGCAGUGGGGAAUAUUGCAAAAUGGGCGGAAGCGUGAUGCAGAAACGCCGCGUGCGGGAUGACGGCCUUCGGGUUGUAAACCGCUUUCGCCUGUGACGAAGCGUGAGUGACGGUAAUGGGUAAAGAAGCACCGGCUAACUACGUG
Molecule: ribosomal RNA, 468 nt
Filed under: uncultured bacterium
Lineage: Bacteria
Description: partial 16S ribosomal RNA
Rfam family: Bacterial small subunit ribosomal RNA
Source: RNAcentral